GGAGAGGUGGCAGAGUGGUCGAUUGCGUCUGACUUGAAAUCAGAUGAGCCCUUGCGGGUUCCCAGGGUUCGAAUCCCUGCCUCUCCG
Molecule: transfer RNA, 87 nt
Filed under: Neosynechococcus sphagnicola sy1
Lineage: Bacteria; Bacillati; Cyanobacteriota; Cyanophyceae; Neosynechococcales; Neosynechococcaceae
Rfam family: tRNA
About the family: Transfer RNA (tRNA) molecules are approximately 80 nucleotides in length. Their secondary structure includes four short double-helical elements and three loops (D, anti-codon, and T loops).
Source: Rfam by way of RNAcentral